RNAcentral lists this ribosomal RNA (758 nucleotides) under Micrococcus luteus. RNAcentral's name for it is "bacterial SSU rRNA". It matches the Rfam family "Bacterial small subunit ribosomal RNA", at positions 54 to 825 of the family's 1533-position model. Lineage: Bacteria; Bacillati; Actinomycetota; Actinomycetes; Micrococcales; Micrococcaceae. The record is from RNAcentral.
CAUGCAAGUCGAACGAUGAAGCCCAGCUUGCUGGGUGGAUUAGUGGCGAACGGGUGAGUAACACGUGAGUAACCUGCCCUUAACUCUGGGAUAAGCCUGGGAAACUGGGUCUAAUACCGGAUAGGAGCGUCUACCGCAUGGUGGGUGUUGGAAAGAUUUAUCGGUUUUGGAUGGACUCGCGGCCUAUCAGCUUGUUGGUGAGGUAAUGGCUCACCAAGGCGACGACGGGUAGCCGGCCUGAGAGGGUGACCGGCCACACUGGGACUGAGACACGGCCCAGACUCCUACGGGAGGCAGCAGUGGGGAAUAUUGCACAAUGGGCGCAAGCCUGAUGCAGCGACGCCGCGUGAGGGAUGACGGCCUUCGGGUUGUAAACCUCUUUCAGUAGGGAAGAAGCGAAAGUGACGGUACCUGCAGAAGAAGCACCGGCUAACUACGUGCCAGCAGCCGCGGUAAUACGUAGGGUGCGAGCGUUAUCCGGAAUUAUUGGGCGUAAAGAGCUCGUAGGCGGUUUGUCGCGUCUGUCGUGAAAGUCCGGGGCUUAACCCCGGAUCUGCGGUGGGUACGGGCAGACUAGAGUGCAGUAGGGGAGACUGGAAUUCCUGGUGUAGCGGUGGAAUGCGCAGAUAUCAGGAGGAACACCGAUGGCGAAGGCAGGUCUCUGGGCUGUAACUGACGCUGAGGAGCGAAAGCAUGGGGAGCGAACAGGAUUAGAUACCCUGGUAGUCCAUGCCGUAAACGUUGGGCACUAGGUGUGG